GAUAAACGCUGGCGGCGUGCCUAACACAUGCAAGUCGAACGUCCUUUCGCGCAAGUGAGAGGGAGUGGCGGACGGGUGAGUAGCACGUGGGUACCUACCGUGAGGUGAGGAAUACCACCGAGAAAUCGGUGACAAGACCGCAUACCUUCGGCAACGAAGAAAGUCAUGCAAAUGACGCCACACGAUGGGCCUGCGCCUGAUUAGCUAGUUGGUGAGGUAAGAGCUACCAAGGCCACGAUCAGUAGCUGGUCUGAGAGGGUGAUCAGCCACACUGGGAUUGAGAACGGCCCAGACUCCUACGGGG
Molecule: ribosomal RNA, 304 nt
Filed under: uncultured bacterium
Lineage: Bacteria
Description: bacterial SSU rRNA
Rfam family: Bacterial small subunit ribosomal RNA
Source: RNAcentral